GAUGAACGCUGGCGGCGUGCCUAAUACAUGCAAGUCGAACGCUUCACUUCGGUGAAGAGUGGCGAACGGGUGAGUAAUACAUAAGUAACCUGGCAUCUACAGGGGGAUAACUGAUGGAAACGUCAGCUAAGACCGCAUAGGUGUAGAGAUCGCAUGAACUCUAUAUGAAAAGUGCUACGGGACUGGUAGAUGAUGGACUUAUGGCGCAUUAGCUGGUUGGUAGGGUAACGGCCUACCAAGGCGACGAUGCGUAGCCGACCUGAGAGGGUGACCGGCCACACUGGGACUGAGACACGGCCCAGACUCCUACGGGAGGCAGCAGUAGGGAAUUUUCGGCAAUGGGGGAAACCCUGACCGAGCAACGCCGCGUGAAGGAAGAAGUAAUUCGUUAUGUAAACUUCUGUCAUAGAGGAAGAACGGUGGAUAUAGGGAAUGAUAUCCAAGUGACGGUAC
RNAcentral lists this ribosomal RNA (453 nucleotides) under uncultured bacterium. Its description in RNAcentral is "bacterial SSU rRNA". It matches the Rfam family "Bacterial small subunit ribosomal RNA", at positions 28 to 478 of the family's 1533-position model. The record is from RNAcentral.